CCGAAACGAAGUGAUCUAUCCAUGAGCAAGUUGAAGCUAGUGUAAGAACUAGUGGAGGACUGAACCCAUAGGCGUUGAAAAGCCCCGGGAUGACUUGUGGAUAGGGGUGAAAGGCCAAUCAAACUUCGUGAUAGCUGGUUCUCUCCGAAAUAUAUUUAGGUAUAGCGUUGUGUCGUAAUAUAAGGGGGUAGAGCACUGAAUGGGCUAGGGCAUACACCAAUGUACCAAACCCUAUCAAACUCCGAAUACCUUAUAUGUAAUCACAGCAGUCAGGCGGCGAGUGAUAAAAUCCGUCGUCAAGAGGGAAACAACCCAGACUACCAGCUAAGGUCCCUAAAUCUUACUUAAGUGGAAAACGAUGUGAAGUUACUUAAACAACCAGGAGGUUGGCUUAGAAGCAGCCAUCCUUUAAAGAAAGCGUAAUAGCUCACUGGUCUAGUGAUUUUGCGCGGAAAAUAUAACGGGGCUAAAGUAAGUACCGAAGCUGUAGACUUGCGCACAACUUAGAUUAUUUAAGUUUAGAAUAUGAGAAACUAAGUUAUAUGUUUAGUUAUAUUUUUACUGAUUUUUAUAGAGUAAAGAUAGAAAUAAAACUUAGUAAAAUCAGUAAAAAUAUUCUUAGACUAAAGUUAAGUAGUUUAAGUUGUGUGCAAGUGGUAGGAGAGCGUUCUAUUUGCGUCGAAGGUAUACCGGUAAGGAGUGCUGGAGCGAAUAGAAGUGAGCAUGCAGGCAUGAGUAGCGAUAAUUAAUGUGAGAAUCAUUAACGCCGUAAACCCAAGGUUUCCUACGCGAUGCUCGUCAUCGUAGGGUUAGUCGGGUCCUAAGUCGAGUCCGAAAGGGGUAGACGAUGGCAAAUUGGUUAAUAUUCCAAUACCAACAUUAGUGUGCGAUGGAAGGACGCUUAGGGCUAAGGGGGCUAGCGGAUGGAAGUGCUAGUCUAAGGUCGUAGGAGGUUAUACAGGCAAAUCCGUAUAACAAUACUCCGAGAACUGAAAGGCUUUUUGAAGUCUUCGGAUGGAUAGAAGAACCCCUGAUGCCGUCGAGCCAAGAAAAGUUUCUAAGUUUAGCUAAUGUUGCCCGUACCGUAAACCGACACAGGUGGGUGGGAUGAGUAUUCUAAGGCGCGUGGAAGAACUCUCUUUAAGGAACUCUGCAAAAUAGCACCGUAUCUUCGGUAUAAGGUGUGGUUCGCUUCGUAUUAGGAUUUACUCCGAAAGCGAAGAAACUUACAACAAAGAGUCCCUCCCGACUGUUUACCAAAAACACAGCACUCUGCUAACUCGUAAGAGGAUGUAUAGGGUGUGACGCCUGCCCGGUGCUCGAAGGUUAAUUGAUGGGGUUAGCAUUAGCGAAGCUCUUGAUCGAAGCCCGAGUAAACGGCGGCCGUAACUAUAACGGUCCUAAGGUAGCGAAAUUCCUUGUCGGUUAAAUACCGACCUGCAUGAAUGGCGUAACGAGAUGGGAGCUGUCUCAAAGAGGGAUCCAGUGAAAUUGUAGUGGAGGUGAAAAUUCCUCCUACCCGCGGCAAGACGGAAAGACCCCGUGGACCUUUACUACAGCUUGACACUGCUAUUUGGAUAAGAAUGUGCAGGAUAGGUGGGAGGCUUUGAGUAUAUGACGCCAGUUGUAUAUGAGCCAUUGUUGAGAUACCACUCUUUCUUAUUUGGGUAGCUAACCAGCUUGAGUUAUCCUCAAGUGGGACAAUGUCUGGUGGGUAGUUUGACUGGGGCGGUCGCCUCCCAAAUAAUAACGGAGGCUUACAAAGGUUGGCUCAGAACGGUUGGAAAUCGUUCGUAGAGUAUAAAGGUAUAAGCCAGCUUAACUGCAAGACAUACAAGUCAAGCAGAGACGAAAGUCGGUCUUAGUGAUCCGGUGGUUCUGUGUGGAAGGGCCAUCGCUCAAAGGAUAAAAGGUACCCCGGGGAUAACAGGCUGAUCUCCCCCAAGAGCUCACAUCGACGGGGAGGUUUGGCACCUCGAUGUCGGCUCAUCGCAUCCUGGGGCUGGAGCAGGUCCCAAGGGUAUGGCUGUUCGCCAUUUAAAGCGGUACGCGAGCUGGGUUCAGAACGUCGUGAGACAGUUCGGUCCCUAUCUGCCGUGGGCGUAAGAAGAUUGAAGAGAUUUGACCCUAGUACGAGAGGACCGGGUUGAACAAACCACUGGUGUAGCUGUUGUUCUGCCAAGAGCAUCGCAGCGUAGCUAAGUUUGGAAAGGAUAAACGCUGAAAGCAUCUAAGCGUGAAGCCAACUCUAAGAUGAAUCUUCUCUAAGCUCUCUAGAAGACUACUAGUUUGAUAGGCUGGGUGUGUAAUGGAUGAAAGUCCUUUAGCUGACCAGUACUAAUAGAGCGUUUGGCUUAUCUUUAAUAAAGCAU
Molecule: ribosomal RNA, 2372 nt
Filed under: Campylobacter coli
Lineage: Bacteria; Pseudomonadati; Campylobacterota; Epsilonproteobacteria; Campylobacterales; Campylobacteraceae
Description: partial 23S ribosomal RNA
Rfam family: Bacterial large subunit ribosomal RNA
Source: RNAcentral